UACGUAGGGGGCAAGCGUUGUCCGGAUUUAUUGGGCGUAAAGAGCGUGUAGGCGGCCUGGAAGGUCAGCUGUGAAAACUCGAGGCUCAACCUCGAGACGUCGGUUGAAACCACCUGGCUAGAGUCCGGAAGAGGAGAGUGGAAUUCCCGGUGUAGCGGUGAAAUGCGCAGAUAUCAGGAGGAACACCGGUGGCGAAGGCGGGUCUCUGGGCCGAUACUGACGCUGAGGAGCGAAAGCGUGGGGAGCGAACAGG
This 253-nucleotide ribosomal RNA is filed under the name uncultured bacterium. RNAcentral describes it as "partial 16S ribosomal RNA". It matches the Rfam family "Bacterial small subunit ribosomal RNA", at positions 524 to 776 of the family's 1533-position model. The record is from RNAcentral.